UACGGAGGGUGCAAGCGUUAUCCGGAUUCACUGGGCUUAAAGGGUGUGUAGGCGGGCAGUUAAGUCAGUGGUGAAAUCUCCGGGCUCAACCCGGAAACUGCCAUUGAUACUAUCUGUCUUGAAUAUCGUUGAGGUAGGCGGAAUAUAUCAUGUAGCGGUGAAAUGCAUAGAUAUGAUAUAGAACACCGAUUGCGAAGGCAGCUUGCUAAACGAUGAUUGACGCUGAGGCACGAAAGCGUGGGGAGCAAACAGG
RNAcentral lists this ribosomal RNA (253 nucleotides) under uncultured bacterium. Its description in RNAcentral is "partial 16S ribosomal RNA". It matches the Rfam family "Bacterial small subunit ribosomal RNA", at positions 524 to 776 of the family's 1533-position model. The record is from RNAcentral.